Molecule: long non-coding RNA, 268 nt
Filed under: Gossypium barbadense (sea-island cotton)
Lineage: Eukaryota; Viridiplantae; Streptophyta; Magnoliopsida; Malvales; Malvaceae
Description: long non-coding RNA (GBAR_LNC015102)
Source: RNAcentral
AAAUGCCAUAAAUUUUCUCGUACGUAGGAAGGAUGUUGUGCCCCAGGCGCUAGUAGAAAAUUCUAAUUUUCAGUAGAGUUUGUAAUUUCCACGUAAGGCUCUAGAAAAACUGAUGGGGCCAAACCCCACAUGCUUCAGGGUCAGCCAGGAGUAAGCGGACUUGGUGGAAUAUGAGCCAAGGGGAAUAUGGAACCAAAUACGAUAGUCAUCAGGGACAUUAUGAAGAAUGAAUAUUUUGUAUAUUUGGUCCCCCAAGUGUUCACCAUAG